RNAcentral lists this unclassified non-coding RNA (394 nucleotides) under Hevea brasiliensis (rubber tree). Lineage: Eukaryota; Viridiplantae; Streptophyta; Magnoliopsida; Malpighiales; Euphorbiaceae. The record is from RNAcentral.
CGCCCAACCGCCAGGGUAAUGAUGUUGGGACCCAAUACAGGUCAGGUAUCUACUACUACACCCCUGAGCAGGAGAAGGCGGCAAGAGAAUCUCUGGAGAAGCAGCAGAAGCUUCUGAAUCGGACGAUUGUCACUGAAAUUCUUCCUGCAAAGAGGUUCUACAGGGCAGAGGAGUACCACCAGCAAUACCUUGCGAAAGGCGGUCGCUUCGGGUUCAGGCAGUCUGCGGAGAAGGGUUGCAACGACCCCAUCCGUUGCUACGGGUGAAGGGCAAGUUUGAACCAGAACGCCACACAAGAACAGUGCUUGAAUAAGGAUAAAUAAUAGCCAGACAAAAAUUAUGCAGCAUAAUACUAUUUUGUUACCUUUGUUUGUAUCAAUCCAUCGAUUGUAAG